GGAGGAAUAGGGAUUCGAUUAGGUUCGUGAUUGCGUGACAUGAAAAGAUAACCAAAUUGUCGGUAAGAGUCUAUUUAAAUUCUUUUGAAUUAAUAGAUCACCAACAUGGUAAUCGUUCCAUGUUUCGCGCACCAAUAUAGACAAUAUAGUAAACGUUAUGUAAUGGAUAUUAUAGUGUACUGAAAAGUUAACUGGAUACCUUCAACUUAUAUUGGUGCGCGAAACAUGGAACGAUAACCGGUUUUUCUAUGGGUUUUUCCUUCGCCUCGCGCCGUUCUAAGAAACCGAGGUUGGUUCAGUUUUAAGGACCGAGAUUGGUUCAUGGCAUACGUAAAAUGCGUGUUUGAGUGAUUGAAGUUGUACCAUGCCCGCAUUCGCCUAUUCCUGGCAUUCCCGUUCCCAUCACGAAGAAGAGUCUUCUUUAAAAGAAGACCCUGGGAAGAGGUAGAGGUUGUCCCGUUCCCUAUUUUAAAGAUGGCCCGGACCCCCUGUCAUUUUAAAAUAGCUCGGAAUUUGUCGACUUGCAUCGUACGGUGACGAGUCACGACGGAGUGCCGGGCAUUUCCGAAUUUUAAUUUUUUUUACCGCGUGGCGAAGAAAGGUGGAGAAGCAAGGAAGAAAAAAUGGAGGACAUUUAUCAAACUUUAAUACCUUUAUUGGAAGGUAAUAUGCUUUAUUUAAUACCAAUCCUUGUAGUAGAGUACUUAGAUUGCUAAUAUAGAUGAAAAUUUAGGACAUCCAGCUCGAAUUUAAUGCGAUAUGUCGGCAUAAAAUUUGUGCUUUUGCUUUGCACGUGGUUGAUGGAACGUUCGCUUUUAAUUAAUAUGGAAUUAAAGUUAUUAAACCGUGUUUUAACUCAUAAUUAUUGUCCAUCAAGUGAGUAAAAAGACUACUAAGAUCCAGAAUUGUAUAUUAUAAGUUGUUCAAAAAUAGUUGUUAUCUCUGAGUUCUUGCCGAAAAUUUUUAUGUAUUAUAAAAAUGCCGUAUACAGAGACGAGGUGCUUGGUGGGACGUCAAAUAUUUCUAUUUCAUCAGCUUGCACAUUUCAAUUUUGCGACAAAAUAUUUUAACAAUAUGGUGUUUUUGUUCAUUUAUACUCAGAAAAAGCGUUGCUUUAGCAACAUUAAUACAACAUAUUUGAUUCUUGCUUGCAAAACAAAAUUGCUACAGUAAGGCAAAAUGCAGAAUUGUAUUUCUUAACAUCACUGCAGGCUGGUAGUGAAAAGUUAGGAGGUGCUUUGAUAGUGAAAAGUUAGGAGAUGCGGUCAUAGGUUAGGUGAGGCUUCUCGGUAAGCAGGCUGGUAAGAUUAAUAUACGUUCUUAGGCUGAGUGUGGUUUGAAAAGAAGAUUGUUCUUUUGAAGCACAUCUACUGCAGGCUCAAAAUAUGGAUCAGUAGCAGUGUAAAGCCUUUUUUCGACAUACGCUGACAAGGAUUAAGAGAAUGUUAGAAAAUAAAAAGGACAGUAUCUGUUUAAUUUAAAAGCAUAUUAAUUAACUUGAUUUACCGGUACAGCAGAUGCCUGGAGUCGAAAUGAAGUUGAAAAAAAUUCCAAUCAAAUUUUAACAUUUCCAAUUGGUCGGCAUUUUUCUGAUGUUCAAAGAACACUACAAAAAUAUUCGGUUCAGGUUUCAUAUCCUAAAAAAAGUAGGAUAGGUAGGUCCAAACAAAACAAAUUUUCUUCAAAUAUCUUUUGGCUUGCCAUUGGUCAGCAAUUGCUGUGAUCAAACAGAGCCGAGAAAAUAAGGUUUGCUGGAAAACCGGAACCACAGGAUAUUGUUUUGUUUCAGACACUGAUGUUCAUAUUGAGGUUUUCAUCUCGCUAACCAAGCUAUUCACACCCUCAGGAAGUUCUCAUAAUUUUGUAGAUGUAUAAUACAAGUUCCAAGAAUGUUGCAAGAGCUCUUGAUGAUUAUGAAAAAUGGACACAUUCCACGAUCCUGAAUAAGAGGUAAAUUAUUUUUCUUCUAAUUAUUUCUAACCUUCUCCUUGUAUUUCUUGGAUAAUUGUGUUUGUAAUUAUUAAUUUGUUUCAUGUUAUCAAUAGUGAGUUUUUUACAUUUUCUAGAUGUGUGUUGCAAUUUCAAAGAAUGUCUGAAGUUGUUGGUUGAAGUGCUUUUGACCACAAAAAUGAACACUAGCUGUCAUUGGAAAGUAUAUAAAAGGUCUUAAUAUUUUUCUGUCUUAUCUUACAUGAAAUGUUUUGAACAUUAUAUGAUUGCCUGUGAUCAAUAGUUUCAAAAAUCCCAGCAGAAUAUUUCAAAAAUAGCAUGAGCAUGCUACUUAUGAC
RNAcentral lists this long non-coding RNA (2288 nucleotides) under Paramuricea clavata. Lineage: Eukaryota; Metazoa; Cnidaria; Anthozoa; Malacalcyonacea; Plexauridae. The record is from RNAcentral.